This 478-nucleotide ribosomal RNA is filed under the name uncultured bacterium. Its description in RNAcentral is "SSU rRNA". It matches the Rfam family "Bacterial small subunit ribosomal RNA", at positions 26 to 518 of the family's 1533-position model. The record is from RNAcentral.
AGGACGAACGCUGGCGGCGUGCUUAACACAUGCAAGUCGAGCGGUAAGGCCCCUUCGGGGGUACACGAGCGGCGAACGGGUGAGUAACACGUGAGCAAUCUGCCCUUCACAUCGGGAUAACCUCGGGAAACCGAAGCUAAUACCGGAUACGACCACCGAAGGCAUCUUCUGGUGGUGGAAAGUUCCGGCGGUGAAGGAUGAGCUCGCGGCCUAUCAGCUUGUUGGUGGGGUAAUGGCCUACCAAGGCGACGACGGGUAGCCGGCCUGAGAGGGUGACCGGCCACACUGGGACUGAGACACGGCCCAGACUCCUACGGGAGGCAGCAGUGGGGAAUAUUGGACAAUGGGCGAAAGCCUGAUCCAGCAACGCCGCGUGAGGGAUGACGGCCUUCGGGUUGUAAACCUCUUUCAGCAGGGACGAAGCGCAAGUGACGGUACCUGCAGAAGAAGCACCGGCCAACUACGUGCCAGCAGCCGC